Non-coding RNA from Peromyscus maniculatus bairdii (prairie deer mouse), 1324 nucleotides. The record is from RefSeq and is a predicted model, not a curated record. NCBI's taxonomy places the organism in Eukaryota, Metazoa, Chordata, Mammalia, Rodentia, Cricetidae.
UCCAAAAUAGAGAUCUCAGGCGCCCAAUAUUCUACAGACCUUACUUCCUCCAGAGGUUGCCGGGCGGUUGUGCAGAUCUACCAAGAACCAGAUGCAGAAACAAGUUUUCCUCCUACUGCAGUUCUGCCAUUUCUCCAAGACCGCUUUAAGGACUGCAGGUCUUGCAUACUCCAGGAAAGGAGUAUCUGUACAGCCUUCUACUUCUAGAGACUAGAGAGUCAUGACAUCAAGAAGACUCCCAGCUCUCACGUAGCCAGCAGAGGCUUUAGAAACUGAUGAUCCUAGAUGGACAAGCAAAAAAUGAUUAGAAUGCGAUAAACUAGAAGGACCCAAAGAAACAGGGAAUUGUUGGGGGAAAAUGAGACUAUUUCUUAGAAGAAAACGCAGUGGAGAAGUGAAAGUGGCAUGCAUCUAAGCAACAAAAGAAAAGGAGCACCGUUCAGAUCAGAGUGCAAACAGAGGAACUCAAGCAUCAGUUUGGAUGGAUGGCUUAAAACAGUCAAGUAGAGCUGGGCAUCAUGGGCAGGCCUGUAAGCACAUCAAUCUGGUGGCAGAGGCAUCUCUGUGAGUUCAAGGCCAGCCUGGUCUAUAUAUUGAUUUCCAGGACAGCAAGGACUACAUAGAGAGGCCUUGUCUCAGAAACAAACAAACAAAUGAAACAAAAUAAAAAGAAAAAAGUUUAAUCAUGAAGAAUUUAAGACUUAUUUGUAGUCUUCCAGUGAGACAAAUGGCAAGGCCUCCUGGGCAGAAUCUAAGGUCAUGUGACCAACUCAUCUUACUUGUAUUAGGCUUUCCCAGGAAAUCUGAUGGCUCUUUGUCUAUCAUCAAGUCUAGAGCCCCCUGUCCUUACUCUCUCAGGACUGAGGAUGGCCAUGAAAAACAUGGAUAGCAUCCUCAGAGAUGAUUUACCUAAGGGUGGAGCAGAAGAUUCUUCAUCCACAUCUGGGUGAGUGCUAGGCCCGCAUAGACGGAACUACAUCACCAGCCUUUUGGGGAUUGAAAUUUUAUUUAUUUAUUUAUUUUUGAGACAGGGUAUGUAGCUCUGGCUGGCUUGGAACUUUAUAGGUAGACCAAGCUGGCCUCACGUUCACAGAGGUCUGCCUGCCUCUGUCUCCCAAAUUUUGGGAUUGAAGGUAUGCGUCACUACACCCAGUCCAUGGAUGUUAGAGUUCUUAAUGGUCAUCAAGCUCAUUUUCUCUUCAAGACCAUUCUGGGAGUUUCUCUUUUCAAGAAAGAAAAUGAGAUCUAUAGUUGUUUCAUAAACAUAUAUAUGAUAAAUAUAGAUAUAAUAAGAUAAAAGGAUAGAUUAUUGAACCUACUUUUA